UGGAGGACCGAACCGACUAAUGUUGAAAAAUUAGCGGAUGACCUGUGGCUGGGGGUGAAAGGCCAAUCAAACCGGGAGAUAGCUGGUUCUCCCCGAAAGCUAUUUAGGUAGCGCCUCGUGAAUUCAUCUCCGGGGGUAGAGCACUGUUUCGGCUAGGGGGCCAUCCCGGCUUACCAACCCGAUGCAAACUGCGAAUACCGGAGAAUGUUAUCACGGGAGACACACGGCGGGUGCUAACGUCCGUCGUGAAGAGGGAAACAACCCAGACCGCCAGCUAAGGUCCCAAAGUCAUGGUUAAGUGGGAAACGAUGUGGGAAGGCCCAGACAGCCAGGAUGUUGGCUUAGAAGCAGCCAUCAUUUAAAGAAAGCGUAAUAGCUCACUGGUCGAGUCGGCCUGCGCGGAAGAUGUAACGGGGCUAAACCAUGCACCGAAGCUGCGGCAGCGACACUGUGUGUUGUUGGGUAGGGGAGCGUUCUGUAAGCCUGUGAAGGUGUGUCGUGAGGCAUGCUGGAGGUAUCAGAAGUGCGAAUGCUGACAUAAGUAACGAUAAAGCGGGUGAAAAGCCCGCUCGCCGGAAGACCAAGGGUUCCUGUCCAACGUUAAUCGGGGCAGGGUGAGUCGACCCCUAAGGCGAGGCCGAAAGGCGUAGUCGAUGGGAAACGGGUUAAUAUUCCCGUACUUGGUGUUACUGCGAAGGGGGGACGGAGAAGGCUAUGUUGGCCGGGCGACGGUUGUCCCGGUUUAAGCGUGUAGGUGUGUGUUCCAGGUAAAUCCGGUUCACUUUAACACUGAGGCGUGACGACGAGGCACUACGGUGCUGAAGCAACAAAUGCCCUGCUUCCAGGAAAAGCCUCUAAGCAUCAGGUAACAUCAAAUCGUACCCCAAACCGACACAGGUGGUCAGGUAGAGAAUACCAAGGCGCUUGAGAGAACUCGGGUGAAGGAACUAGGCAAAAUGGUGCCGUAACUUCGGGAGAAGGCACGCUGACACGUAGGUGAAGUGAUUUACUCAUGGAGCUGAAGUCAGUCGAAGAUACCAGCUGGCUGCAACUGUUUAUUAAAAACACAGCACUGUGCAAACACGAAAGUGGACGUAUACGGUGUGACGCCUGCCCGGUGCCGGAAGGUUAAUUGAUGGGGUCAGCGCAAGCGAAGCUCCUGAUCGAAGCCCCGGUAAACGGCGGCCGUAACUAUAACGGUCCUAAGGUAGCGAAAUUCCUUGUCGGGUAAGUUCCGACCUGCACGAAUGGCGUAAUGAUGGCCAGGCUGUCUCCACCCGAGACUCAGUGAAAUUGAACUCGCUGUGAAGAUGCAGUGUACCCGCGGCAAGACGGAAAGACCCCGUGAACCUUUACUAUAGCUUGACACUGAACAUUGAGCCUUGAUGUGUAGGAUAGGUGGGAGGCUUUGAAGUGUGGACGCCAGUCUGCAUGGAGCCGACCUUGAAAUACCACCCUUUAAUGUUUGAUGUUCUAACGUGGACCCGUUACCCGGGUUGCGGACAGUGUCUGGUGGGUAGUUUGACUGGGGCGGUCUCCUCCUAAAGAGUAACGGAGGAGCACGAAGGUUGGCUAAUCCUGGUCGGACAUCAGGAGGUUAGUGCAAUGGCAUAAGCCAGCUUGACUGCGAGCGUGACGGCGCGAGCAGGUGCGAAAGCAGGUCAUAGUGAUCCGGUGGUUCUGAAUGGAAGGGCCAUCGCUCAACGGAUAAAAGGUACUCCGGGGAUAACAGGCUGAUACCGCCCAAGAGUUCAUAUCGACGGCGGUGUUUGGCACCUCGAUGUCGGCUCAUCACAUCCUGGGGCUGAAGUAGGUCCCAAGGGUAUGGCUGUUCGCCAUUUAAAGUGGUACGCGAGCUGGGUUUAGAACGUCGUGAGACAGUUCGGUCCCUAUCUGCCGUGGGCGCUGGAGAACUGAGGGGGGCUGCUCCUAGUACGAGAGGACCGGAGUGGACGCAUCACUGGUGUUCGGGUUGUCAUGCCAAUGGCACUGCCCGGUAGCUAAAUGCGGAAGAGAUAAGUGCUGAAAGCAUCUAAGCACGAAACUUGCCCCGAGAUGAGUUCUCCCUGAGACUUAGAGUCUCCUGAAGGAACGUUGAAGACGACGACGU
This 2110-nucleotide ribosomal RNA is filed under the name Salmonella enterica subsp. enterica serovar Enteritidis. RNAcentral's name for it is "partial 23S ribosomal RNA". It matches the Rfam family "Bacterial large subunit ribosomal RNA", at positions 767 to 2853 of the family's 2925-position model. Lineage: Bacteria; Pseudomonadati; Pseudomonadota; Gammaproteobacteria; Enterobacterales; Enterobacteriaceae. The record is from RNAcentral.